CUUCUUGGAAGAGUGACGGGCGAUUUGUGCAUAAUCAUUUUCUAAGCUUUAAAAUUAAAUUUUUAUUUAUUUUCUUUUAUUAACAAGUCCUAUUUCCUCUUUGGCUCUGUUUUUAUCCAUUUAUUUUAAUUUGUAUCCCAUAAUCUACUUACAUAUUAACUCUGUCUUGAUUUGUCUUAAAAUCUCAAAAAUUUGGUAAAGUAUUUUUCUUAAAUUCUUUUUGGGACAAUGAUAUAGGGGCUAAAAAAGUAAGUUCACUUAAUCGUGGUUUAUCUAUUAAGAAACAGGAUCCCCUGCAAAGAUUGAAUACCGCCAUCUUUGUCCAACUUUCGUUUAUCUAACUACUAUUUUUUAUUAAUUUAAAA
This 365-nucleotide ribosomal RNA is filed under the name Abacarus floridulus. Its description in RNAcentral is "partial small subunit ribosomal RNA". The record is from RNAcentral. RNAcentral also lists the same sequence under 1 other name. Lineage: Eukaryota; Metazoa; Arthropoda; Arachnida; Trombidiformes; Eriophyidae.